GACGAACGCUGGCGGCGUGCUUAACACAUGCAAGUCGAACGGUGAAGCGAGUGCUUGCACUCGUGGAUCAGUGGCGAACGGGUGAGUAACACGUGAGUAACCUGCCCAUCACUCUGGGAUAAGCACUGGAAACGGUGUCUAAUACUGGAUACGACCAACCCUUGCAUGGGGUGUUGGUGGAAAGAUUUAUCGGUGAUGGAUGGACUCGCGGCCUAUCAGCUUGUUGGCGGGGUAAUGGCCCACCAAGGCGACGACGGGUAGCCGGCCUGAGAGGGUGACCGGCCACACUGGGACUGAGACACGGCCCAGACUCCUACGGGAGGCAGCAGUGGGGAAUAUUGCACAAUGGGCGAAAGCCUGAUGCAGCGACGCCACGUGAGGGAUGACGGCCUUCGGGUUGUAAACCUCUUUCAGCAGGGAAGAAGCGAAAGUGACGGUACCUGCAGAAGAAGCACCGGCUAACUACGUG
Molecule: ribosomal RNA, 469 nt
Filed under: uncultured bacterium
Lineage: Bacteria
Description: partial 16S ribosomal RNA
Rfam family: Bacterial small subunit ribosomal RNA
Source: RNAcentral